UUACUAGCACUUUUAAUGUACCAUCGCAUGUCUGGGGUCAGAUACUAGUAAUACCCAGCUGCAGGUCAGGCUGAGUUUCCAUACGACCUCAAACACUAGUGAUUAGGUGAAAGCUUAAUACCUUUAGAGUCUUGUAAACCCUCUGUCUCAUAUAUUACAUCAGGCAUUCAUGAAAGGGAAGACAGAAUAAAUUAGUCAAUGUAAAAUGUAUCUGGAAGCCUAAGAUAAUCCUAUAAUUCCCAAUAUUAUCCCUAAUAACGUGACCCUAGAACCGGUGAUGAAAUGGAGCAACGAGGUCAUUGCAUGCCAGGGUUCAGAUAAGAUCUUCUGUGGAUUCUUUCCUGCAAAAUCUACCCAAAAGAAGUGGAAAGUAAUUUGAAAAAACUCUUGAAAGCAGUCUUUAGCCUGAAGGGAUUAGGAGCUCACAGAUGAAGAUGAUGUUCCUCAGUCUCCCUGAAAGAAAAUCUUUGCUGAGACAGCCUCAAAUCACGGCAAAGAAAUCAAUAUAAUUCAGGAACCUGGGGUCUGUUUUAUCAAUUCCCAGACACAAGGCAGCAGAUAUUGGGUGUGAUUAAGAAAUGGUGCAAGGGGACUUUAAAUGGACCCUGCGUGGGCAGCUGAUUGAAAAAGCUUCUGGAAAGGACAUGGCAUCUGGGCUUGGUUUCUGGGAAAAGGAGAGCAGCUUUUUGGAGUUCCCUUUAUCUUCCUCCCAGAGCCACAGCAAAGGCGGUGAAGGUGUGAGGUGGCUCUGAGAAGGGAUCACAGCCGUGCAGGGGUCCUCAGAUGGAGGGCUUGCACCCUGGCCUGGUGAGCCACCUGCUUGUGGCUCCUGUGUCCUCUGGCCUGUGUGGUGUCAGCUCUGCAGCAGAGGCCUCUUCAUGACUGCGGUGCUUUUUUCUUUUUGUGUAGGACAGGUACCAUCAUCAGGAGCUGACAGAUAGAAAGGGAAAGGGGGAAGUGGUUGGUGUGAAGGCUUAGCUGAUGUUCAGCCCAUCCUGUGCCCACAGCUGUGUGUGGAGGAGAGGGGCGCCUGUGACCAUCUGGUUCUUGGGAUCCUGGAUGGCUGUCCCAGCAGCUGGGACAACAGCAGUCUGAUGGGCAGGCCACCAAAAGUGCGGUGGCACAUGACCUGAGCUGAGAGGGGACACUCUAAAACCAAGAAAAACUUCUUUCUUGUUUUCUCUUUGCAGACAGAAGAGAGGUACCAGAGCAGAAUUUGAUCCCAAGGUGUCUACUUACAAAUUAUUGGUGCUGGUGAUGUCUGGGGCUUAGUACCACGUAGUCUUCCUUGAAACCACUCCCUGUUUGUUCUUCCCAUAGGAUCCUAGGAGGAAGGAUUUUGCCACUAAAACCUUGGGAAAAAAGGAACCUUCUUCCCCAUUGCAAGGCUGGUAUUGUUUGGGAUGCCCUGCUGGGCUUCUGAAGAGAAGUGAUGACAGACACCCUGCGACAGACGUAAAAACCAGCUCUGGAAUCUGAACAGCAAAUCAAGCAUGUGAGCAAAAGCUAUACUGACUUGUGUGUGUCUUCAUCAUCGCCUGCCAGCUUGAGAACAGGCUAUGCAAGUAUAGCACAUUAAAUGCUUCUUGGCUGCUUUGAAUAACUGAAGAGAAAUGUGAAAGGGGAAGAAAUGGCAAAGGGGAAUGAGAGAGAGGCCCAGAUCUCAGCCUGACAACAGCAGUCUCUUGAAAGAGGCACUGUGGAAUAAUUUCCUGGGAUGUGGCGUCCAGCUGUGUGCGUACGGUGUAUGUCAACAAUAAGGGACACAGGUUUUGGCUCUGAGUCCAGUGAAGUAUUUCUAAGCACGCUUAACUCCAGGCACAUGACUACUCCAGUUAACAUUUGUAAGACUUUUUGCAGGCUUAAAGAGCGUCCGAAUGUGAAGUCGUAUAGAUGGGUGUGUUAUUUGGAAUUGGACUAAUCUGAACCAAAAUGCUUUCAAGCAGUGGCACUAUGCAUCGUGGUGAUGGGCCAAGACACCUCAUGCCCAGAUGAAGUCAUCAUCCUACUCCUACUUCUGCUGUGACAACUUGCUUCAACUGCCAAAAACCUUCGACACAGCAAAUGGUCCCAGUCUCCUCAACCCAGAGAUGUGAAGAGUUUCCCUCAUGGCUCCAGCUGGUGGUGGUUUAAGCCCAGGAGAGAAAUUUCAGCAUCAUGCCAAUGCAAGAGUUUUGUUAUCCCUCCUCUUGGGAAAAAGGCCACAGAGAUGAGGACUGAGAUGUGGAAGAACACUUUCCCAGGCAGGGCAGCAGCCCUGGUCGUGGCUCUCCUGUGGUUCCCCUCCCAGCUUCACCAGAGACCUCUCGGAUACCAGUCCAGCUGACAAAAAGGCUACUAACAUUUUCCUGAGGAAGGAACACAUCAUACAAGGGAAGGAAAAACAAUGAAUUCAAGAGCAUUGAGCUACUUAAAAUCUUCUGAAAUCCGGCUGUCGAACAGAACAAGAGGCACCAGUGCAGCUACAGACUUUCACAUGGUUUGAAUUGAAGCAGUCGUCUUUCCUCCGCUCUCCCUGCAGCAUCAAGGAGUGACAGUGUUGGUGGACUAGCAGGGAAGUACUGAACUGAAAUGCACAGUAAUUGUGCUCUAUGAUUUUUUAAAACGAAAAUGUGGCUAUUUUCAGUCAGUCCAGGACUGAAGUGAAAUAUUCAGUUAGGAAUAAGCCUUACAAAUACAAAAAUAUAAAGGAGACCAUAGCAUGCACUGGAGAUGAUAGCCUUUUGUUGGGAUUCUGCAAUAUUGUGGUUCUGUGAAAAGUGUGAAAUUUGUGACGGUCGCAGUAAAGUCAUGGAAUCAGUUUAAUGGAAAUUCCUGUCACUGUGGAACAUUUGUAAAAAAAACUCACCAGACUAGGAGUUCCCAUGUGUUGGAAAAUUUAAUUCUUAUGAUGCUCUACUGCCAUUUAUGUUUCCUUAAUGAAUUACCACUCUGCAAAUAAUAAAGCAGCAGUAGGGUAAAAUUCCCUUCAGCCGUAAGAGGGCAAUGGGUACAGAAAUCCAUCAUUCUGGUUACGGUGCUAACUUACAAACGAUGAAAGUAUAAUGAUUUCUUUACAUACACUGUUUGCAUGACCCAACUUUUGUUAAAUGUGUGCUAAACUGUACUGAUAUCACAGUUCCUGAAAUAUAGUAUGUGUGACCCAAAGGCAAGGCUAUCUAUCAGUAGUUUUUCAGAUCUGUGGAUAUUUUGCUUCUGUGGGACUUUGGUGGUCAAUGGCAGUUAUCUCUAUUCCUUUCUUUUGGUCUUUUGCUUAGGGGUUGUGCAGAGCCUCAAACAUUUUAAAAUAAAGUUUAGCAGAGAGAAUCUCUUUUGUAACAGCCACACCGUCUUGCAGCUAUAAUUUGUGAUUAAAAAAAUGUGAGAAAAUCACUCUGCAUAUAAAAUUCCUUGAUAUCACAUCGUUGUCAGUGUUGGCUUCGUGUUACUGUUAUCAGCUUCUUUUCCAGUUUACAGAUUAGCAGAGAUUGUCUUUUCCAGUGACAGUGGCAAGAGGCUGGGUAUGAAACAUGACCAUGUAUGCGUUUAGAAAAACUCAGGGCACAGCUUGUGGAAAUAUGUCACAUUUCUGUGGUGCAGCAGAGUGGGAGGCAGCAAAUCUGGAUCUUAUUACCAGUUUGGCCAUAGUCUUCCUGUGUGAACACUGAGUGAAAUUGAAUCAGCUUCCAGAAUUUAGCUACGCUUGAUAUCUGCACGUAACACGAGAUGGUCUGAAAAAAGCUUCCCAGGGCUUUUUUGUCUUCUCUUCCUUGAUAUACCAGGACCUGCAAAUCGAAGGGAGCAAUAUAAUGUGAAUACGGAGAUGCAAAGCUAUACCCUGAAGUCUACACAGUUGACCUCUUUCUUCCACUGCAGAGAAUUUGGCCCGGUUCCAUUUUAGCGGUGUUUUCAUUUACAUAAAAGAAAAAGAAAAAAGAAGAAGAAAAAAGGCAUACUGAGCUCUCCUAUCUUGUGACAAUGUGAAGAUGGGCC
Molecule: long non-coding RNA, 3972 nt
Organism: Chroicocephalus ridibundus (black-headed gull)
Lineage: Eukaryota; Metazoa; Chordata; Aves; Charadriiformes; Laridae
Exons: 14
Source: RefSeq, a predicted model, not a curated record